Molecule: long non-coding RNA, 1756 nt
Filed under: Homo sapiens (human)
Lineage: Eukaryota; Metazoa; Chordata; Mammalia; Primates; Hominidae
Description: HSALNT0100767
Source: RNAcentral
CAGCUAUUUCAAACCAUAAAGAUGAGGGCUGUCCCCUAGGGAUGGUAGAACUAAGAGCCAGAAAAGACUAAGUUCUCGAUAAUCAUUUGGAACUGCAAUAGUGGUCCUGGACUACCUAUCUCUAGACUUCUUUUACAUAGGGAGAAAUAUACUUCUCUGUGAAGCCACAACCUUUUAGGAUUUUCUGUCACUUGCAGGUGAAUAUAAAUCUGUUGGAUACAAUAUUGUGUGCAUGGUAGGUGGGCCGUCAGUGGUGAGCCGGGGCUGCCAUUCAGAGAGGUGGUAGCAGCUCUCCAGACUGAAAAGGAUCUGGAUGGUUUCAGUGAUGGAGGCAGCAGAUUAUCUGGGCUGAGCUCAAAGUCCCAUGCAAAUGAAGAGCCGUGCCUCCAGGGUGAUCGGAAGCCUCAGCACCAGCAUCCCCAGCAGCCUGCUCCACCUACUCAGAAGUCCUCGGGCAGCAUUUAAGGACACGAAUCACCUGACUUCACUGCGGGGAAAUCCUCUCACGGCAUGACUUCCUGUCACAGUAGAAUAGAACCCACGCUCCGACCCAUGACCUACAGCUCUCAGCAUGCUCACUCUAAGAGCUCUGCCAGCUUACAGCCCUCACGUCCUCAUGGUGCCAGCAGCCUCCAAACCUGGUCCUGCGACACAGGAUCUCUGUUGGUUCCUCAUCCUGGGAUGCUUUUCCCAGACCCUCCAUGUCUAGCUCCUUCCUCCCAUUAUCUGACAGCUCUGUGGAAUGCAACCCCACCCACCCAUCAUCACUAUCUCCCAUUCUGCCUUAGUUUCUUCCUUCGUUCUUCCUUUUCUUUUUGACAAGGUCUUGCUCUGUUGCCCAGGCUGGAGUUCAAUAGUGCAAUCAUGGCUCACUGCAGCCUCAACCUCCUUGAUCCUUGAUCCUCCCAUCUCAGCCUCCCAGGUAGCUGGGACCACAGGUGUAAGCCACCAAACCUGGCUAAUUUUUGUUGUUGUUGUUUGCGUUUUUGAGAAAGGGUCUCACUCUGUUGCUCCCUGGGUUCAAGUGAUUCUCCCAUCUGAGCCUCCCGAGUAUCUGGGACUAUAGGCACGUGCCACUACGCCCGGCUAAUUUUUGUUUUUGUUUUUGCUUUUGUUUUUGUUUGAGACUGAGUCUCACUCUGUUGCCCAGGCUGGAGUGUAGUGGUGCAAUCUCCACUCACCGCAACCUCCACCUCCUGGGUUCAAGCGAUUCUCCUGCCUCAGUCUCCCAAGUAGCUGGGAUUACAGGCGCAUGCCACUAUGCCCGGCUAAUUUUUGUAUUUUUAGUAGAGAUGGGGUUUUGCCAUGUUGGCCAGGCUGGUCUUGAACUCCUGACCUCAGGUGAUCCACCCACCUCAGCCUCCCAAAGUGCUAGGAUUACAGGCAUGAGCCACUGCACCCAGCCAGACUUGCUAAUUUUUGUAUUUUUUUUGUAGAGACGGAGUUUCACUAUGUUGCCCAGGCUGGUCUUGAACUUCUGGGCCAAGUGAUCUGCCAAAGUGCUGGGAUUACAUGUGUGAACCACCAUGACUGGCCUGCCUUAGUUUUCUUAGUAGUAUUUAUCCCUGCCUAAAAUUCUCUUCGAUGACUAUUGUCUUACACAUGCAUUUGUUUACUGAUUUCUCUCCUUCCCUAGAACGUACAAGUUCCAUGGAAGCAGAGACUUAGUUGGCUUGUUCACCACUCUAUCUCCAAUGCCUAGAUGGUGGCUGGCACUCAUGAGGAGCUCAAUAAAUAUAUGUUGAAUGAAUGGAUG